AAGGAAGGUCACGACAGUCUCUCCCCCUCCCCCCCCUCCUUCUCCGCUUUUGAUACACGUGCAUUCCUUCCUGAUCAUUAAUCAUGGACGCUACCUGACAACCGUAAGGGUGAAGUGGGCGACACUACAUGCGCCAAAUCUUACUUAAGUAGUACUCUUAUUAUUGAUUAGCAAAUACCAUAAUUAGAUAGGAUUAGAGGAGACCGUGUGUAGGGUGGCAACAGGGAGAACAAAUGAAAGGACCAACAUGGAAAAUCGCAUGAGGCCCAGUGGGAGGGGGGAGCCACCUUUUAUCUCCCAGCUCUUCAUAAUCAUAAUCGGUCGAUUGAGGAACACCCCAUGUGCUUCUCUUCCCUCGGUCGGUCUUUUGGGCAGUUUCAACGCUCUUCCUCUCCCGGUCGUUCCACUCCCAAGUUGAUCCCAUAAGUCUUGGCGACCGGCAACUUUCUGACAUAACCGGCUGCAGGUCCAUAAUCUCUCAUCAUAUUUCUAGUUUUAGAUAGGAGAGAAGAACUCGCACCUAGCCGGCGUCGCAGGUGGAGGCUUAACGACUUGGGUGCAGGAUGGGGUGCCAGUGCAAAAGAAAGGGGUAUACAGGGAUGGUAGGGGCGGCGGUGGCACAACGAAGGGGGUGGUUCGGUGAGGCGGCAUGGUAGUGCCGCCGGGAUCGGUUGUUUAGGCAAACAAUUAGGUCUAGGUUGGAGGGCGGCGGGUGCCAUGCCGGGCGAGGAAGAAGGAGGUGGGCGGCUGUUGGAUUGAUAUCCAAUGGUUGGGGUGAAUCAACUUAGAAUUAAAAAAAGGGAAAUUGUUUUAUAAGUUCUCAUUUAUUACAUCUCCUCAUCGUGUUUUCAGGAGUUAGGGUAUCACAGAAUUAAGUGAAGACUUUCCGCAAAAAAAAAAAGAAUUAAGUGAAGACGUGGUUGUUUUUCAA
Long non-coding RNA from Aegilops tauschii subsp. strangulata, 931 nucleotides. RefSeq lists it as uncharacterized. The record is from RefSeq and is a predicted model, not a curated record. NCBI's taxonomy places the organism in Eukaryota, Viridiplantae, Streptophyta, Magnoliopsida, Poales, Poaceae.